UCCCUGGUGGUCUAGUGGCUAAGGAGCCCGUGCUCUCACUGCCAUGGUCCAAGUUCAAUUCCUGGGCAGGGAA
This is a non-coding RNA of Pangasianodon gigas (Mekong giant catfish), 73 nucleotides long. Lineage: Eukaryota; Metazoa; Chordata; Actinopteri; Siluriformes; Pangasiidae. The record is from the annotation of a GenBank genome assembly.